This 521-nucleotide ribosomal RNA is filed under the name uncultured Bacteroidota bacterium. RNAcentral's name for it is "bacterial SSU rRNA". It matches the Rfam family "Bacterial small subunit ribosomal RNA", at positions 395 to 916 of the family's 1533-position model. Lineage: Bacteria; Pseudomonadati; Bacteroidota. The record is from RNAcentral.
UGCCGCGUGCAGGAAGACGGCCCUACGGGUUGUAAACUGCUUUUGUACCGGAAUAAACCCUUUUACGAGUAAGAGGUUGAAUGUACGGUAAGAAUAAGGAUCGGCUAACUCCGUGCCAGCAGCCGCGGUAAUACGGAGGAUCCAAGCGUUAUCCGGAUUUAUUGGGUUUAAAGGGUGCGUAGGCGGCCAAUUAAGUCAGGGGUGAAAGACGGUAGCUUAACUAUCGCAGUGCCUUUGGUACUGAUUGGCUUGAAUGUACUUGAGGUAGGCGGAAUGUGACAAGUAGCGGUGAAAUGCAUAGAUAUGUCACAGAACACCAAUUGCGAAGGCAGCUUACUAAAGUAUGAUUGACGCUGAGGCACGAAAGCGUGGGGAUCAAACAGGAUUAGAUACCCUGGUAGUCCACGCCCUAAACGAUGAACACUCGAUGUUGGCGAUAUACGGUCAGCGUCUAAGCGAAAGCGUUAAGUGUUCCACCUGGGGAGUACGCCCGCAAGGGUGAAACUCAAAGGAAUUGACGG